GUCGGGGAAGGUGGGGAUGACGUCAAGUCAGCAUGGCCUUUAUGUCCAGGGCCACACACGUGCUACAAUGGACGGUACAGAGGGACGCAAGACCGCAAGGUGGAGCAAAUCCUCAAAACCGUUCUCAGUUCGGAUUGCAGGCUGCAAUUCGCCUGCAUGAAGCUGGAAUUGCUAGUAAUCGCAGAUCAGCUACGCUGCGGUGAAUACGUUCUCGGGCCUU
This 220-nucleotide ribosomal RNA is filed under the name uncultured Aminicenantes bacterium. Its description in RNAcentral is "partial 16S ribosomal RNA". It matches the Rfam family "Bacterial small subunit ribosomal RNA", at positions 1163 to 1382 of the family's 1533-position model. The record is from RNAcentral. Lineage: Bacteria; Candidatus Aminicenantota.